RNAcentral lists this ribosomal RNA (253 nucleotides) under uncultured bacterium. RNAcentral's name for it is "partial 16S ribosomal RNA". It matches the Rfam family "Bacterial small subunit ribosomal RNA", at positions 524 to 776 of the family's 1533-position model. The record is from RNAcentral.
UACGUAGGGGGCAAGCGUUGUCCGGAAUCAUUGGGCGUAAAGCGCGCGUAGGCGGCCCGGUAAGUCCGUUGUGAAAGUCAAAGGCUCAACCUUUGAACGCCGAUGGAUACUGCCGGGCUAGAGUCCGGAAGAGGCGAGUGGUAUUCCUGGUGUAGCGGUGGAAUGCGCAGAUAUCAGGAGGAACACCAAUAGCGAAGGCAGCUCGCUGGGACGGUACUGACGCUGAGGCGCGAAAGCGUGGGGAGCGAACAGG